RNAcentral lists this ribosomal RNA (484 nucleotides) under uncultured bacterium. RNAcentral's name for it is "partial 16S ribosomal RNA". It matches the Rfam family "Bacterial small subunit ribosomal RNA", at positions 30 to 507 of the family's 1533-position model. The record is from RNAcentral.
AUUGAACGCUGGCGGAAUGCUUUACACAUGCAAGUCGAACGGCAGCACGGGGGCAGUCCUGGUGGCGAGUGGCGAACGGGUGAGUAAUACAUCGGAACGUGCCCGGUCGUGGGGGAUAACGUAGCGAAAGUUACGCUAAUACCGCAUACGAUCUGAGGAUGAAAGCGGGGGACCCUCGGGCCUCGCGCGAUCGGAGCGGCCGAUGUCAGAUUAGGUAGUUGGUGGGGUAAAGGCCUACCAAGCCGACGAUCUGUAGCUGGUCUGAGAGGACGACCAGCCACACUGGGACUGAGACACGGCCCAGACUCCUACGGGAGGCAGCAGUGGGGAAUUUUGGACAAUGGGCGCAAGCCUGAUCCAGCCAUUCCGCGUGCAGGACGAAGGCCUUCGGGUUGUAAACUGCUUUUGUACGGAACGAAAAGGCUCUGGCUAAUACCUGGGGCUCAUGACGGUACCGUAAGAAUAAGCACCGGCUAACUACGUG